CCAAUCCUACAUCCAAUAGAGGGCUAAACUC
This 31-nucleotide non-coding RNA is filed under the name Mus musculus (house mouse). Lineage: Eukaryota; Metazoa; Chordata; Mammalia; Rodentia; Muridae. The record is from RNAcentral.